RNAcentral lists this long non-coding RNA (215 nucleotides) under Setaria viridis. Its description in RNAcentral is "long non-coding RNA (SVIR_LNC001605)". The record is from RNAcentral. Lineage: Eukaryota; Viridiplantae; Streptophyta; Magnoliopsida; Poales; Poaceae.
UCGUCUUCGUCUUGCCCAAUUCUUUCUUGGCUACUACAAAGCCUACGACACACGCCAUGCGAGGAAAGGAAUGGUCUCAACGAUCGAUGUUCCAACGCAUGAACGUUAGUUUUGACCUUCGUGCUGGAAUCAUCUCUCUCUCUUUACAGCGAUGCGUGAUUGCGUGAUUGCAUGAGUCAAGGACACCAAGUUGCUGUUGUUGUCGCGGAGCUUGA